Molecule: ribosomal RNA, 497 nt
Filed under: uncultured bacterium
Lineage: Bacteria
Description: partial 16S ribosomal RNA
Rfam family: Bacterial small subunit ribosomal RNA
Source: RNAcentral
GAUGAACGCUGGCGGCGUGCCUAAUACAUGCAAGUCGAGCGAACGGACGAGAAGCUUGCUUCUCUGAUGUUAGCGGCGGACGGGUGAGUAACACGUGGAUAACCUACCUAUAAGACUGGGAUAACUUCGGGAAACCGGAGCUAAUACCGGAUAAUAUUUUGAACCGCAUGGUUCAAAAGUGAAAGACGGUCUUGCUGCCACUUAUAGAUGGAUCCGCGCUGCAUUAGCUAGUUGGUAAGGUAACGGCUUACCAAGGCAACGAUGCAUAGCCGACCUGAGAGGGUGAUCGGCCACACUGGAACUGAGACACGGUCCAGACUCCUACGGGAGGCAGCAGUAGGGAAUCUUCCGCAAUGGGCGAAAGCCUGACGGAGCAACGCCGAGUGAGUGAUGAAGGUCUUCGGAUCGUAAAACUCUGUUAUUAGGGAAGAACAUAUGUGUAAGUAACUGUGCACAUCUUGACGGUACCUAAUCAGAAAGCCACGGCUAACUACGUG